UACGGGGGGAGCAAGCGUUGUUCGGAUUUACUGGGCGUAAAGGGCGCGUAGGCGGCCUCUGCAAGUCGACUGUGAAAUCUCCGGGCUUAACCCGGAAAGGUCAGCCGAUACUGCGGGGCUAGAGUGCAGAAGGGGCAACUGGAAUUCUCGGUGUAGCGGUGAAAUGCGUAGAUAUCGAGAGGAACACCUGCGGCGAAGGCGGGUUGCUGGGCUGACACUGACGCUGGGGCGCGAAAGCUAGGGGAGCGAACGGG
Molecule: ribosomal RNA, 254 nt
Filed under: uncultured bacterium
Lineage: Bacteria
Description: partial 16S ribosomal RNA
Rfam family: Bacterial small subunit ribosomal RNA
Source: RNAcentral